AUGAACGCUAGCUACAGGCUUAACACAUGCAAGUCGAGGGGCAGCGGGAUUGAAGCUUGCUUCAAUUGCCGGCGACCGGCGCACGGGUGAGUAACGCGUAUCCAACCUUCCGUACACUCAGGGAUAGCCUUUCGAAAGAAAGAUUAAUACCUGAUGGUAUGAUGAGAUUGCAUGAUAGCAUCAUUAAAGAUUUAUCGGUGUACGAUGGGGAUGCGUUCCAUUAGGUAGUAGGCGGGGUAACGGCCCACCUAGCCAACGAUGGAUAGGGGUUCUGAGAGGAAGGUCCCCCACAUUGGAACUGAGACACGGUCCAAACUCCUACGGGAGGCAGCAGUGAGGAAUAUUGGUCAAUGGACGAGAGUCUGAACCAGCCAAGUAGCGUGAAGGAUGAAGGUCCUACGGAUUGUAAACUUCUUUUAUAAGGGAAUAAACCCUCCCACGUGUGGGAGCUUGUAUGUACCUUAUGAAUAAGCAUCGGCUAACUCCGUGCCAGCAGCCGCGGUAAUACGGAGGAUGCGAGCGUUAUCCGGAUUUAUUGGGUUUAAAGGGAGCGCAGACGGGUCGUUAAGUCAGCUGUGAAAGUUUGGGGCUCAACCUUAAAAUUGCAGUUGAUACUGGCGUCCUUGAGUGCGGUUGAGGUGUGCGGAAUUCGUGGUGUAGCGGUGAAAUGCUUAGAUAUCACGAAGAACUCCGAUUGCGAAGGCAGCACACUAAUCCGUAACUGACGUUCAUGCUCGAAAGUGUGGGUAUCAAACAGGAUUAGAUACCCUGGUAGUCCACACGGUAAACGAUGGAUACUCGCUGUUGGCGAUAUACUGUCAGCGGCUUAGCGAAAGCGUUAAGUAUCCCACCUGGGGAGUACGCCGGCAACGGUGAAACUCAAAGGAAUUGACGGA
This 896-nucleotide ribosomal RNA is filed under the name uncultured bacterium. RNAcentral's name for it is "bacterial SSU rRNA". It matches the Rfam family "Bacterial small subunit ribosomal RNA", at positions 29 to 917 of the family's 1533-position model. The record is from RNAcentral.